CAGCCGCCACGGUAAUACGAGGGGGGCUAGCGUUGUUCGGAAUUACUGGGCGUAAAGGGCGCGUAGGCGGCCAUUCAAGUUAGAUGUGAAAGCCCUGGGCUCAACCUAGGAACUGCAUCUUAUACUGCGUAGCUGGAGUGCAGUAGAGGGUAGUGGAAUUUCCGGUGUAGCGGUGAAAUGCGUAGAUAUCGGAAGGGACACCAGUGGCGAAGGCGGCUACCUGGACUGACACUGACACUGAGGCGCGAAAGCGUGGGGAGCAAACAGGAUUAGAUACCCCUGUAGUCCCUGUCUCUUAUAA
RNAcentral lists this ribosomal RNA (301 nucleotides) under uncultured bacterium. RNAcentral describes it as "partial 16S ribosomal RNA". It matches the Rfam family "Bacterial small subunit ribosomal RNA", at positions 509 to 809 of the family's 1533-position model. The record is from RNAcentral.